This 83-nucleotide transfer RNA is filed under the name Paludibacteraceae bacterium. RNAcentral describes it as "tRNA-Leu". It matches the Rfam family "tRNA". From Rfam's summary of the family: Transfer RNA (tRNA) molecules are approximately 80 nucleotides in length. Their secondary structure includes four short double-helical elements and three loops (D, anti-codon, and T loops). Lineage: Bacteria; Pseudomonadati; Bacteroidota; Bacteroidia; Bacteroidales; Paludibacteraceae. The record is from RNAcentral.
GCCCAAGUGGUGAAAUGGCAGACACAAAGGACUUAAAAUCCUUCGCUGGCAACAGCGUGUCGGUUCGAGUCCGACCUUGGGCA